CUUAAAUGUAGAGUGCAUUUUUAGAGAUAGAAAUUCCCUUCGGGCUUUCUGCAAGGUGCUGCAUGGCUGUCGUCAGCUCGUGCCGUGAGGUGUCGGGUUAAGUCCCAUAACGAGCGCAACCCUUAUCGUUAGUUGCCAUCUGGUAAUGCAGGGGACUCUAGCGAAACUGCCACCGUAAGGUGAGAGGAAGUGGGGAUGACGUCAAAUCAGCACGGCCCUUAUGUCCAGGGCUACACACGUGUUACAAUGGUCGGUACAGAGGGCAGCUACCUGGUGACAGGAUGCUAAUCUCGAAAACCGGUCUCAGUUCGGAUCGAAGUCUGCAACUCGACUUCGUGAAGCUGGAUUCGCUAGUAAUCGCGCAUCAGCUAUGGCGCGGUGAAUACGUUCCCGGGCCUU
This 399-nucleotide ribosomal RNA is filed under the name uncultured Sphingobacteriales bacterium. RNAcentral describes it as "bacterial SSU rRNA". It matches the Rfam family "Bacterial small subunit ribosomal RNA", at positions 980 to 1382 of the family's 1533-position model. Lineage: Bacteria; Pseudomonadati; Bacteroidota; Sphingobacteriia; Sphingobacteriales. The record is from RNAcentral.